This 440-nucleotide ribosomal RNA is filed under the name uncultured bacterium. RNAcentral describes it as "partial 16S ribosomal RNA". It matches the Rfam family "Bacterial small subunit ribosomal RNA", at positions 338 to 795 of the family's 1533-position model. The record is from RNAcentral.
CCUACGGGUGGCUGCAGUGGGGAAUAUUGCACAAUGGGGGAAACCCUGAUGCAGCGACGCCGCGUGAAGGAAGAAGUAUUUCGGUAUGUAAACUUCUAUCAGCAGGGAAGAAAAUGACGGUACCUGACUAAGAAGCCCCGGCUAACUACGUGCCAGCAGCCGCGGUAAUACGUAGGGGGCAAGCGUUAUCCGGAUUUACUGGGUGUAACGGGAGCGUAGGCGGCGAUGCAAGUCAGAAGUGAAAGCCCGGGGUUCAACUCCGGGACUGCUUUUGAAACUGUAUGGCUAGAGUGCAGGAGAGGGAAGUGGAAUUCCUAGUGUAGCGGUGAAAUGCGUAGAAAUUAGGAGGAACACCAGUGGCGAAGGCGGCUUGCUGGACUGUAAAUGACGCUGAGGCUCGAAAGCGUGGGGAGCAAACAGGAUUAGAUACCCCUGUAGUC